This 495-nucleotide long non-coding RNA is filed under the name Homarus americanus (American lobster). RNAcentral's name for it is "uncharacterized LOC121866207, transcript variant X1". The record is from RNAcentral. Lineage: Eukaryota; Metazoa; Arthropoda; Malacostraca; Decapoda; Nephropidae.
CUUUUUUUCUUUACAGUCCUGCGUCGGUACUUUGAGGAGCCGCCGUACUCAGAGUCCGUCCCGCUGGAGCAGCAUGUGGAGCUCAGGUGUCUGCCCCCUAUAGGUCGACCUCACCCCACCUCCACCUGGCUCAAGGACAACGUGCCCAUCAACUUCGACCUCCUCCCCAGCUACAAGAUUUCCUCUGAAGGAUCUCUGCUGAUCCUGUCGGCUCGGCCUGAAGACUCAGGGAACUACACCUGUGUGGCGGAAAACGUGGCGGCCAAGAGAGUGUCCGACCCCGCCGUGCUUAAGGUGUAUGUGGACGGUGCGUGGUCGUCCUGGUCGUCAGCGGUCAUCGUGCAGCAGCAGGUGUGGUCGUGGAAUGCAACGUCGUACUCGAACGUGCUCGGCCCCGACGCCACUGAACGGCGGGGCGGCGUGCCAGGGCAUCGCCGUGCAGAGAACCGACUGUUCCCAUCUGUGCCCAGAUGGUCGAGGUUCCUUCCGUCAGGA